Molecule: ribosomal RNA, 187 nt
Filed under: uncultured rumen bacterium
Lineage: Bacteria
Description: partial 16S ribosomal RNA
Rfam family: Bacterial small subunit ribosomal RNA
Source: RNAcentral
UACGGGAGGCAGCAGUGAGGAAUAUUGGUCAAUGGGCGAGAGCCUGAACCAGCCAAGUCGCGUGAAGGAUGAAGGUUCUAUGGAUUGUAAACUUCUUUUGUCCGAGGGUAAAAAAGGUCACGUGUGACUUCUUGCAAGUAUCGGACGAAUAAGCAUCGGCUAACUCCGUGCCAGCAGCCGCGGUAAU